RNAcentral lists this transfer RNA (73 nucleotides) under Daphnia magna. It matches the Rfam family "tRNA". From Rfam's summary of the family: Transfer RNA (tRNA) molecules are approximately 80 nucleotides in length. Their secondary structure includes four short double-helical elements and three loops (D, anti-codon, and T loops). The record is from Rfam by way of RNAcentral. Lineage: Eukaryota; Metazoa; Arthropoda; Branchiopoda; Diplostraca; Daphniidae.
GGUGGCAUGGCUUAGAUGGCAAAGCGCUUGCCUAGUAAGCAGGAGAUCACGAGUUCGAGUCUCGUUGGGACCU